This 28509-nucleotide long non-coding RNA is filed under the name Vitis vinifera (wine grape). RNAcentral's name for it is "long non-coding RNA (VVIN_LNC000394)". Lineage: Eukaryota; Viridiplantae; Streptophyta; Magnoliopsida; Vitales; Vitaceae. The record is from RNAcentral.
GUUCUUCCUCCUCCUCUUCAUGUUCUUUUACGUUCGGUAAUGUAGGUGUUGGCGGUGGCGAUAAAUCUGAGCCAAAGGUGCCUAACAGGUGCAUGAGCUGCAACAAGAAGGUGGGGUUGACGGGGUUCAGAUGCAAGUGCGGGAGUACCUUUUGCGGGGCUCAUCGUUACCCAGAGAAGCACGAGUGCACAUUUGAUUUCAAGGCCUCAGGGCGCGACGCCAUUGCCAAGGCUAAUCCGGUGGUUAAGGCUGAUAAACUGGACAGGCUGUGAAACCACCUGGAUUGGUAUCUUCUUUAUAAUCAUCAUCUUCUUCUUCUUCUUCUUCUUCUUUAGGGUUCCUUUAUUUGGUUAGGGCUUUGUGGGAAAGCUGGUGGUUAUGGUGCUGUUCUUGCUUAAUGGUGGUUUGUGGGUGAAAGGGAUGGAUAAUACGUGGUGGUUGGGGGGAGGGGGGUGGCUUCCAUAAUAAAGUGGCUAAUUGAAUUGUUAUUAGUUGUAGUUUGCCCUUUUUUCUUUAUUCUUUUUAAACUUUUUCUUCCCUCUUUUUCUGCUCUGCUGCUAAACUACUUUAUCACAUCUAUUCUAAUAUCCAUACCUAGCUUGGUAUUUAGGGUUAAUGAGUAUCUGCAUCCUUUUUCUUAGAAUAUGGCUUCUGAAACAUUCUUUCUUAAAAAUAAAUAAUAAAUAAUAAAUAAAUGAAUACGAAAAGUUACAAAUUUUAAUAUGAUUCAACUUACAAGAUCUUGUUUUAAGAAUAUAUGUAUUUAAUAACAGCAGCAGCCCAUGGUGGCUUUCUUUGUUCUGUUCUUGGUUUACUGGUAGAGUUUCUUUUCUAUCAGGGCUUGAUCGAAGCAGUCCAAGGGAUUUUUGUCGUUCUUCUUAAGCGAUUUUCAUUAAGAACAAUUAUCAUGUAAUUGUUAUUUUAUCGUGGGGUAGGGAUGCUUGGCUGCCCAUGACCUUAAACCCCACUCUUUGAAUUUAAUUCAGGCAUAUUCAAUCAAUUAUUUUAUUUGAAAUUUAUACGACACGAGGAAAAGUACUUAAAAUUAAUAUGAAACUUUUUAUUAACAAUUCUUAUUUAUGAAUAAAAUUAAUAUAAUAAUUAAAUAGGUUUUAUACAAAUUUAAAAUAUAAUGUUUUUUAAUUAUAUUUAAUAGUUAAUUUAAAUUCACCACUGAAGUUUCAGCUGACAUUUUCCAACUUGUAAUUUAAUAUUAAAAUUUUGGCCAAUUAGUGAUUACAUUGUGUUUUUGUAGAAAAAAAUUAUGGUGAUGAUAUAAUGAUGAUUAUUGUCGCCGUUAUCCAAAAAUUGACUGGAGGAUCUGUUGUCCAGUUUCAAGGGUAAAUCCACGUGUUUAAAGGCACAUCAAUUGGGUGUCUUGUUUAAUUAAGAUACACCCGUAAUAAAGAAGAUAUGCGACAUCCAGCUCUUACCUAACUGCUCUUCACAUGGACUUUGGAAAGAGAUAAUAAAGAAAAGGAAAAAAGGAAUGGUUGAUGAUGAGCUAUUUCAUUUUGAGAAAUGAGGUAGUUGGGAAUUGGCUGGCUUUCAUCAAUCUUCAUUUAGCAAUGCCCCCCCACUUUUGAAAUUGGAACCUUGCCCAGAAGAUACCUUUUGAACAUUGGGGUUGUGUUCUUCUAGUUCGACCAAAGGUGCCUUUUCUUUUUCACCCUUCACCCCUUCAAAAGGUAACCUUCUCAAAACAACAUCGGCUUGUUAUUGGUUUGCUCCAAAAGUAGUCUGUCGUUUAUAUUUGAAACUUUACUAAUUCAAUGCCAAACACCAUCUAACUUCUUUUAUUUGAAAAUGACUGGAACUCAAACAGGACUUGAAUGAACCCAUAUCAAUCAAAUAAGUCAAUUUUUUUAACUCCAGGGUUGGCGUGGGAUUGAAAUGACUGUGAGAAGAUGGUUUAAACAAUUACAUGGGCUCUUAUUUCUUGGAACAAUCCCACUACGAAAGGUGAGGACUUUACUUGAAAGAGUUGUUUUAGGCCUGAGCCUUAAGGCUUAAUGAUUGGAGAGACAUGGAAAAAAGGCAUACAAAAAGGGCAAUUAUUGGCAUUUUCAGCCUACCCUUUCUUCUGGGCCUGGGCUUCACUGGGUCUUCAAACCCGAGACCACCCUGCUAAAUUUAGUACAUCUCUGGUGCUACCUGCAUUCAUUUUGUUGGAUAAGCAUUGGAAAUUCAAACUCAGGGCCAAGAAGGCAUCAAAAAAUUGGCAGUGAGUCUAUGCAACAGUCCAUUUAUGUACUACAUCCUUGUAACAAGUCAAAAAAUGGAAUGAACAAUCUUGUCAAAGACUCAUGGUUGCCUUCCCCUUUUAGUUACUGUAUCAGAAGGUAUGCUUGGCCCCAAUAUGACUGCUAAUAUACUUUCCAUACUUUGAAUAUAAAACAAUCAGAAAACUCUUAUCAGCUUUGAUUCUCCUGUCCCAAAAAUCCACUCAUUGAAUCAAUGAAAAUGAGCAAAGAUGGAAACUCUCUGCAACAUAUCAUGUGGAUCAAUGAAAGGGGAAAAACAUUAAUAAAUAUCUUCACUGCAGUGUCCUGUGGGAUUCAUUAUGAAUCUUGGCUUGGGUGUGAGGUAUAAAACAUUGAUUUUCUUGCUUACACUUCAUGUGAAUAAACAGGAGAGAAGGAGAGAAGGGAGCUAUAUGACAAGUGCUCUAAGACUUUGAGAACCCAUGUUGAGGACCACAGGGUUUGAAACUUUAGAUGAAGAGUCUUAAUCAGGACAAAGUAAAAGGCAAGAAGAAAAAUAAAGGGUACCCAUAAGGCCUGACAUGGUGGAUCAGACCAUGUCCUCUCCGUUAAUUGCAAAGCUUGAGAGGAUGAGCUCUAAAGGUAAUGAAUCAGGAGUGGUGAUGGAAAUCCCUGUCAAACCAAUUUGCCACUUUCUCUACUUUCUGUAAGGCUACAUGCCUUUUGGACUCUAAAAAAAAGAUGAUGAAUGGUUCACUUUAUGCAAUGUGCAAUGAAACUCAUGAUAUAAGAACUCACAUUGCCCCUUAUCUGCCCCCCCCUGGCUGUCUUCUUGAACCACCCAACAGUGAUCAUGACUUAGGUCCACCUAUGUGACUGCAUUUUGGAUGUGGCAUGGCAAUUGAAAGAUUCCUCCACGGUUUUCACAAUCUUUAGUCGAUCUAGGACUAGACUAUCUAAAUGUACAAGGUUUAUCCCAUCUACCAUAACACCCACCCUCCAUUGCGGAGCUUUGAUUCACCCCAAAACUUAUAAUAAAAUAUGAUAAUCUCUAAUUGCAUAAAGUAACAUGAUCGCAUGUCCAACAAAAGCAAAUGUAUUAAGAAAGAGAAUGCUAAAGUUGUAAUUUUGAAACUACAUAAUUGAUUUGUGAUUAUCAUAUACAUUAGCAACUUUUUAGAUUCUCCGACAAGAUUGUUCUAAUCCAAUAUUUCUUCGUUAAGGUUAAGUAAAAUCGUUGAAUAUGGGUGGGGGGCCCUGAUCAAGGACAUGUUAACAACUAGAAAGGUAAGAGAGUUCAUGGGUUAAAAUCGAUCUGCUUCAUUGCAACCACAUUAAUUUUGGUAGGUGGGUCUAUGAUGCAACCUCCACCCUCUCAAAAUCUGCAUGUCACUGUCUUCUCAAAUGUGACUUAGGGCUCACCCUCUCAUGUCUUGAUAAUUCAUUGUAUGCAAAUGGUUCUAAUGGGGUUGCCACCCCCAUGUCCCAUCACGUGAUUAGAAUUUUUUAUUUAUAAGAAAAAUUGAUCUCAACCAUCCAAUUAUUAAUAGAAAAGACUUAAUAAUGUAUUGCCAAAAAUACAGAUCAUUUGUACCUUCUUGUGGGUGCACCCAUGCCUUUACCUUUAGCAAAAUUAAACUUUCUCUUUUCCUCGAUUGCCUUGUCUGAAUCACAAUUGGGUCAAUUUCAGUGGGACAUGGCAUAAGAUGAUGACCUUUCAAAAUGGGAUGAUUUUCUAAUUAGGAGUUUUCUACUCAAAAUUCAAAAAUACGUUAUAAUUUCAAAUGUUAGUAACUACCUUUUCGCGCCCAUAGGAAAAUUAAUAUAUGGCAGAUUCCAAGGAUAUACACUUUAGCCUUUUAAGUGCUAAAGCUAUCCCACUCCUUUAUAACUUUUCUUUUCUUUUUUUUGGGAAGAUUUUCAAACUAAUUUGUCAUUUUCAAUAUGCAAUAAUAGCCCUUGUUAUGUUUCAUGAUUUACCCAAAUGCCCUGUGAGGAUUCUCCCCCCACGAUCCACACAACAUACAAAAGAGUGAGUGGGGUGUUGUCAAUUUUGUAAAUGCACCAACAAUAACUAGACGACCAGAUAGUUUUUGUUUUGUUUUUUCUGUUUUUGUUUUUCUUAUGUUGAGACUAAAAGACCAUAAAGGGCUUUCUACGUACGUUGUAUUUUCUUAUCAAUCUUUUUUUUUAUUUUUUAGAUAGUAAUCAAAAUUCCAAAAUUUCUCAUCAUUUUAAGAGUAUAUUUGAAAAUAAAAUUUUAAAAACGUUUUCAAUAUUUUUAAUACUUAAAUAAUAUAUAUUUUUAAAUAUUAAAAAUAUUUCUUAAAAUCACUAUUAAACGAAAUCUUAACUAUAAAUAACAUGUAAUGUCUAUCACACUAUAUAAGAUAGCGAUCUUGUACAUGAGAAGGAAAAUUUAUGUUUUACAUGUGGGGGUGUCGUAUAAAGUGGGUAAAGAUAAUGCUGAGAAUUCAAAGGUGGCGCAAGUUGACUGUAAGAGUGGACUCUUCCGCCACAUAAUAGAGGGUGGGAUGACACAUAUCACGUCAAACGCUGAGUGUUAUUUAUAAGAAAAGGGGCAUUGAGUAAUGGUAAUGGAGUAGGAAAGAAGAAGUGUGGAAAGUCUCAAUUGCAGGCAUGGUGUCUUGUCUCUUCGCUGUCUCCUUUUGAGUGUGGGAGAGUUGAGGAGGAGAGUGACGGCCUUCCUUUAAUUUCCCCAUGCCAACCACAAGGCUACAAUUCUAAGCAAAUAUCUUUCUCUUUUUAUUCUCUAUUAAUUUGUCUUUAUUUUCCAUUUCCACAGCGCUUCCCCUCUGUGUUAAGGGCCCGUUUGCAUGGAUUUUUUUAAAAAUUAGAAGGUUUUUUUUUUUUUUUAGUUUAAUAAAAUUUUUAAUAAUUAUUGGGUGGUUUCGUCAUUUGGCCUAUUCGCAUUUCCAUGGGACUAUGGGAGUUACACAACGUGGAUACGGUCGGUGAGUGAAAUUUAAAACGAUCACGAGGCUGGUUUUUGAAAAUAUAUCAAACUGUGAAGGGUAGUUUUGUAAUUGAGACUGAAAAAUUAAGAAGAAAGUGAGGAACUCGGGACCCGCCGGGGUAUGACCAGGCCAUCUCUCUCUCUCUCUCUAAAACGCGGAAUUUUCUGGCUCGCAUCUCACACGAUUCACUCCACUUUCUUUCAAAACUUUCUCGCUCUUUCUUUCAAAUUUGCUCGGAAAAUUUCACUCCAGGAGUUCAAUGGCUGCGACCCUUUGAGGCUUGGGAUGUGAAAAUGGCGGCUUCGGGUGGUUACAGAAAUGGAACUCACAAGGGCAAUAUGAAGGUGGAUAGGCUGGUCUCCCUCAGUUCCGCCACCAAGUCUUCCUCUCUCAAGUCCAAGCCUUCCCCAGCGUCGCCCGCUUCUUCUGGGCUCCGCCGCAACAGCACCGGCUCUGUCGGUGGAGCAAAAGACGAUGCUGGAGGUCAGUUCUCUCUAUCUUUUGAAGUGGGUUUGUUGUGGUUGGUAUUGGGUUGUGGGUGUGGAGGAGUGUGAGUUGGUGUUCUAAAUUUGGUUGGAUUGGAACAAAAACGUUAAAUCGGUGCUUGUUAUGUUUGUAAUGGGAAAGCUAUUUUGGGAAACUAGGGGCUAUGUGAAGGAUUUGAUUAGGUGAUGGGCACCUUUAAAAUCAAGUCAUCUGAUAAAUGGCGCAAAAGAAUUCAUAUAGGGAAGCCCAAGUGGACAAGAUCGAUACUUUGUGGAAUGGAGUAGGGAGUAUUUGCUGAUUUGCUAACUCGUGUUCUAUUUAUUUUGUGUGAUAAAAAUUUGUCACCAAGAAUUGGAGGUUACACAGGAUCGUUUGGGAUUUCUAUUAUAAAGUGAAUUAUUGAGACUUGUAAUAAAACUUAUUUCAAAUGGUAGAAAGAGAGCAAAAAGGUAGACCAUUCUUCACGGUAGGACCUCUCUAUUGUGCAUGCUAUUAGGAAUCGGAAGAAAUUUUCUCAUAAAUAAUGCCAUUCUAUUGGUGUGAUGACUUGUUUCCAUUUUGGUAGUGCAGAAUAACUGAUUCCUUUAUGGAGACUUAGCCUUUCGUGAAAUAAAUUCCAAGUCAUUUUAUGGGUGUGGAUUGUGAUUCAAUAAAAAGAACUUAAUAAAAACGUGAAGAGGUGCAGUAUUCUGGUAAUAACAUUAAGAUCAACAAUGGUGGACUCGUGUAAUAUUGGCAGUAAAAAGUCUGAAGAGCCAUCAUCUAGAAGGUUUUCUUAGUCUGGCAUUAAGACAGUUGUCAUGCAUGAUCAUGAUUCAUGGAUGGUGCUGAAGAAUCAUGUAGGUAGACCUCUUCCUCACUUUCUUAUUUCGAUAUCCAUUUUGCCAAUACAUGGAGUCGAUUUUAAUAGAUGGAAUAAAUACUUGAAACAAAAGAGAUCUAUGUUCUUUUCUUAAUAUCUAUUGACCAAUGACCAUCACUGAUGAAAUCUCAUAAACUGGGAAAAAUUGUAAAGAAGCAACAGGAUCAUGAUUCAUAAAUGCUUAACAAGUUUGAUGCCUCUGUCCUUCCAGAACAAGCAUAUGCUUACCAACAAAAGAAGGAAACCUUUAAACCUCCCUUUUUAUUCAUGAGGAGAGCUCUAGCUUAAGCAGAAUGGUUAAUCUUGCCAUACUACUAUGGCUACUCCUACUACUCAUAUUGCUACUGAUUGUAAGUAUUAAUGCUGCUACACCUUAUUCCUAUGGCCUCUGCUAGCAUUACUUUAAGAUGUGUUUUUCUGAUGGUAAUGCUUUCUGUGGCAUAAGCAAUGUGUACAUAUUAUUAAGUAUCUUCUCAAAUUUCAAAAAGUAAGCUUUCUAGUGUUCCUCACAUCCAUUGAUGUUGCAUAUAAUGGAUAUGACAAACUCCAAUUUGAUAAUUUAAUGUUCUGGCAAUAUAAUAUUUCCUUUUACUUUAGACACCUAGCCAGUUGAAAGGAUUUUCUGCUUGAUCUGGGGAGUAUAACAAUUCCAUAAUUAAUGGGUAUUUCAAAUAUUAUAAAUUGAUCCCCUUGUAGUCCCAGUGUAGUAAGGUUGCACCCCCUUUUUUUUGUUGGAGGCUCUUCAAUCUAAGUUUCUGUUUGCCUAUCAAUAUAACAAAUUGAUCCUUUGAACAACGAUUUACCGACUAGUAUGGUGCUGCAUGGCCACUUCAAAAUGGAUGAAGUAUUUAUAUUGGAAAUUACAUGACAUGGGCAUGGUAUGUCUCUGUCAUGCCUAUAAUUGGAUACAUACUCAAUAAGCAUGUCUAAUAAUGGAAUAGAGAAAUGCGUUUCUCAUCCCCUAUAUGUUCUUUUUUGAUAGUCUUUUUUAUUCCAUAUAUGUUCUUUUUUUUAUGAUUAAUCUUUCUUCUUUGUUGCAUGAAUGCUUCAAUAAGAAUGAAGUACCCUUGCUGGAUAUGCAAAGUUACAUUUAAUUUCAGUUCUAGGUUCAGAAAAGAAACAUGGACACAUCAAUGGUUCAGACAUGUCUCCUCCAUCCUCUGAAAUUUCAGGAUUAAACACAUUACACAUAUGAAUCCCUGUCCUCCCUGUCUGGAGCUGUAAAUUUCUGUUUGUUGGAAGUCAUGUUUUUGUUAAGGAAAGGGAUCAAGCUAGUAUGUAACAAUAACAAUCACCAAGAAAUUUUUCCAACAUUUUUCUUUUGUUAAAAGGCUUUGAUGGUGUGCUUUCGUAUUUUUAUGCUGUAUUUUUAACUUUUAUGAAUGCUAAAUAUAGUUCCUGGGAGGGUUCGAGUGGCUGUAAGAUUGCGACCGCGGAAUGCAGAGGAGUUGGUGGCUGAUGCUGAUUUUGCUGAUUGUGUAGAAUUGCAGCCAGAGGUGUUCUUGAUGUUAUUUUUCCUGUUAUAGAAUCUAUACAUGCAUACAAUAUCCUUUUAUUUUACUGAUGGUUUCUCUGUCAUUUUCAUUGUUUGUUUGCUCCAUUCAGCUUAAAAGGUUAAAACUUCGAAAGAACAAUUGGGACUCAGACACCUAUGAGUUCGAUGAAGUGCUUACAGAGUUUGCAUCACAAAAACGUGUAUAUGAAGUUGUUGCGAAACCUGUUGUGGAGGUGCAUGGCUGUCAAAGUUGUCAAUUUUAUCAUAAAUACUGUAGUCAUUUGCAUCAGUUCUGUUAUUUUAAGGCAUAGCAGGUGCAUGGAUAGUUGAAUUUUUCGAGUUUAUAAUGUUGGUUUCUUCUAUUUGUGAUCUAUGAUUGCCCUAGAAGCCAUGGCUCUUAGUUUUUUUUAUCAGCCAAACAGAAUGGCAUCAGUCUUGGAAAGAUCAGCUUUGAUAUGGAAUACCAUCUAUAGAAGAAGGAAAAAAUAAAAGACAAAUUUGUUAACUUUCAACUCCGAACAGAAUAACAAAAUAAUGAAUAUCAAACUUAAAAAAAGAAAACUAAAAGAAUUAGCAGAUAGUUAAUAUCAUCUCUUAUGGUUUAGGAUAUUGAUUUUCAAAAAUAAAUCAAAAGUAUUUAUUACAGAAAAGAAGAGGCAAAAAAGAGGAGGCCGCAGAGAGGUGCAUGUGUGAGUGUGGAAGGGGGCCUGCUGUUGGUGAGGGGUGAGCAAGGAGUGCUGAAAGAACAAACUCACUGUAUAUCACUGCAUUUCACUUUGCUACACUACCCUAUUCACACCAAAAUUAUGAAAUAGAUUGAUUCUUUGGGAAAAUUAUCAUUAGAAGAUAUUAUUUCAAUUGAUUUUUUUUUUCCUUUUUCCUUUUGCUUUUGAUUGACCACUUCUUGCCUCUGUUAUUAAUGUCUUGUAUUGGAUAUUUAUUAUAAUAAUUAUUAUUAUUUUAUGCAUGAAAUCCUUCAUCUGUUUUCACCUUUUUUUCACUCCCAUGUCCAAGAAAAUUAAAUAUAAAUGUUUAUUUUCCUUUUUAUUUGAGUUGGAUGAUUUUAUACUAGUGUGAUCUGUCAUUAUUUUUGAUGGAGGCCAUCUAAGUCAUACUUUUGAUGGCAAUUAAACUUCAGACAGCAGGUUUUCAUAUGUUGUUUGCUUCUACAGAGUGUUUUGGAUGGUUACAAUGGAACAGUCAUGGCAUAUGGACAGACUGGUACUGGGAAAACAUACACACUUGGGCGACUUGGAGAGGAAGAUACUGCUGCGCGUGGAAUAAUGGUGCGUGCAAUGGAGGAUAUUUUAGCAGAAAUUUCUCCAGAGACUGAUUCUGUCUCAGUCUCCUAUUUGCAGGUUGUUAGCCUUAAAAAUAAUAUUAAGUUCAUGCUUAAUUUAUUGUUGUUGUUAUUUGUUUAGUAUAUUGUUGCUAGUUUAUGAAAUUUUCACUUUUCAGUUAAGCCAAUUUCAUUUCAUCUUGUAAGGGAUCUUUGAUAUAUUCUAUAAAGGCGUUUUUCAGAUAUAAUUUGUCUGACGUUCUUGUUCUUUACAAAUAUCUUCAGCUUUAUAUGGAAACCAUUCAGGACCUCCUUGAUCCUACUAAUGACAACAUAUCUAUCAUGGAAGACCCGAAAACUGGAGAUGUUUCACUACCAGGGGCCACCCUAGUAGAAAUCAGGGACCAGCGGAGUUUUGUGGAACUGCUACGGUUAGGGGAAGCUCACCGCUUUGCUGCAAACACAAAAUUGAAUACCGAAUCAUCUCGUAGUCAUGCUAUUUUGAUGGUGAAUCCUUAUCUGCUGAUGUUCAUGCUUUUCUUUCUUGAGCACUUAUUUGGAUUGGUUGUUUUAUUCUAAUGGAGCAUUGAUGGAUUUCUCUUUUGCUGCAGGUACAUGUUAAGAAAUCUGUAAAGGGAAGGGAUUCAGCUCUUUUAAGUGAAAAUUGUAACAGUUCCCACAUGGUUAAAACUUUUAAGCCACCUGUUGUUCGGAAAGGGAAGUUGGUUGUGGUAGAUCUUGCAGGUUCAGAGCGUAUUGAUAAGUCAGGUGUGUAUGAUAACUUAUGGAUAGGAGAAUUAUUUCUUUUCCCUGAUGACUGAUUGAGCUUUCAUGAAUAUGUAAAAUCAUGUUUAUAUUUUUUGAAUUGAAAGUGAUACCCUCCUGUUUUGGUUGGCUGGUGCCAUCUCAAUCCAUGGCUUGAAAUGUCCUGUUUAAGUUGGAGGAGCAAAAGCUCCAAGUUUGCAGUUUUUUUUAUAGUUAAUUUCAAAAAAAUCACUUUUAGCAAUAAUAGGUUUAGGGCUCAUGAGCCCACUAGCUUAAAUCUUUGGGAAUGAGAGAGUUGGCUCUUUCAAUUGCUAAAUUUUAUUUCUGUUUGCGAAUUGUAUUCAACUGUAACAAUAAUUUUAAAUCAUAUUUCAGCAUGUUCAUACAAAAUUAGCAUCUCUUGUCCAGUAGAAUGUCUGUUGAGGAUGGAGAAGUUGAGUUACGGAGUUCAUUGGUUAUAGCAUCUUGAGGAAGAGAUCUUUGCUUUGGGAUUUUUUUUUUUGUUUUUUGGGCACUUCCAUUUUUGUUCUUUCAAAUAAGCAGAAGAGACAAAUCAAAGUAUGUAAAAUCAGUAAACCCAUUUUUUAAGAAAAACAAAAAUUCUAAAUGUUAUAUUAUUAUAGCUGUUCCAUUUUUAGUACUUUGCUUCUCAAUUACACUUCAGAGUUUGCCAUUUGUUUGUUAUUUGGCAGGAAGUGAGGGACAUACAUUAGAGGAAGCCAAGUCUAUUAAUCUUUCUUUAAGUGCUUUGGGAAAGUGUAUUAAUGCACUGGCAGAGAAUAGUGCACAUGUCCCGGUUCGUGAUUCAAAACUUACAAGAUUGCUUCGAGAUUCAUUUGGAGGUGAGUUGUUCAUGCAUAUGGUAAGCGAUAUUUCUCCUUUUGGUGUGGUCUUCACUCAAUUUUAUCAAACUUUCCUGGACAUGGUUUUCUCAUUUAAACAUAUUUAUUGAUUUGGAUGAAUCUCAGCACUGAAGCUUCCGAAAGCUCAGAUGAGAAAGUCUUGAGUCUUAUACUCUCUUUGGGAAGUGUUUUUAAAAAUAAUUUUUGAAAAUUGUUCUUUGAUAUUUUGCGAAACAAAAGUCUGGUAGGAAAUUUAAAAUAUUCUUAACCUGUUUUCUAUUUUUUAAAAUAUGUUUUAAAAAUAACUUUUAUUUCUGGUUUCUCAGAAAAUUGUUUUUUGCUUUCUGAUUGUCAAACAUGUUUCUAUGCUUUUUUGUUUUCAAAAAUAGAAAACUGUUUUUGAAAAUAGUUAUCAAAUAGACCCUUAAGUACUUGAGCCCCGUUGUUACAUGUAUCCAAAUGCAAUAAUUGGCUGGAUAAUAGAGGACUGGUGCAAAAAUGUUAGUGGCUAUGGAGAGAGGUUGGCAAUCCCAAGGGACCCCUUCCUCCUACUCACUAUUUAUUUAUUUAUUUCUGAAAUUUCUUCAAUUAAAUAUAUAAUUUGCAGUUGAACCCCUUUAAAGUAAUGAUUUUACUCACCCAAUCAUAUAAUAUUCAUAUGAGUUUUAUGAGUACAAUAAUAUCUUCAAAUUACCCCAAAGAACAACUCUAAUUUGCAAGUCAGCCCUUAAAAUGAUUCAAAUCUUGUUUUAUGCCAUCCCUACCAAAUGAUAUAGUGCCUUCAGGAAAAAUUUGUAUCUUGAUCAGUAUUAAGGACAAUACUUUCUUCCUUGGCCUUUUACUCUAAAAUGGUAUUCUCCUUUUGAAGAUCCUUCACUCUGAUGACUAUUUGCAUCUGCUAAAAAAAUAGAUAGCUGUUUUAAAGAAGAGGAAGAGGAAAACAUGGAGACAAAAAUGGGAUUGACUGCAGAAUUUUUUUACAUGUACCAUAGGAAGAGAGAAAUUAUCAAGGAACCAUUUUUAGCACAUAAAAGACUUAAAAAUGAUGGAAUUAUCCCUGUCAAUAAUGGCUCCCAUUUAAAAGGGAUUAUUUGGUGAUUUAGGCAAUUGGAGUAUAUUCCUUUUGAAGUAGAGUUUUUCAAAGCAGUUGGAGAAAUUUAAAAUGGCUGGUCUCAGCUUGCCUGUUCAUGCUGAUAUCCUACAUAUUGAAUCUACUGGAAAGUGCCUGGGUCUUGAACCACUGAAAAUCUUGCCAAAGUUCUAACAAUUAUUUUUAAGGGGGCAUGUUCUAUUUCCUAGCAAGCAGACAGAAAGGUUCUGUCAUAGAUUUUCAAUGCUAUUUCAGAAUUCUUUCUAUUUGGUAGCAGUCAGUUCAUCCUUGGCUGUAUCUUCUAUUUUACAUAGAUGUGCUGAUUUAUCCUUGUGUUUAUUUUGACGCAGCAUUUAAAAUAUUUUAACCUUUACAUUAUUCCAGGCACUGCAAGGACUUCAUUGGUUGUCACUAUUGGUCCAUCCCCACGUCAUCGUGGAGAGACAUCAAGCACCAUCAUGUUUGGACAAAGGGUAGGUUCCAAACUUAUAGCCUAAUUUUUUUCCUUUUAGAGUUAUCUAUAGUUGCAAUCCUUGUCAUGUAUUCAAUUUUAUGGCUUUUUUUAUUAAUACCGUUGUUGCAACCCAAUAAUAUCUUUGUGUUUUGACACGGAUGAAAAUAUCGGUUUUUACAAAUAUAUCGACAAUUAUAUUUUACGGAUAUAUCGGUGAAAGAAAAUUGAUCAAAACUAAUAGAAACAUUAUGAAAAACUCCAAAAAAAUGAUAGAAGAAGCAAUAACACACUUUAUUUAUAUGUGACAUAGUUUGUGAUAUUCAAUGCACUAAUAAAGAAUAUAAAUUUUCUAAGCAUACGUCCAAUAUUGAUUUGUAUUAAGUAUUUAAUUUCAUUAGAUGUAUGUCAAUAAUUUAUAUAUAUUACAUUAUCAUAUUUCCAUUUAACAACAAAAUGAAGAUCGACGUGAUUCUGUGGCACUAUGGAGAAUCUCAUCUUAGUGGAAAUAAUAUUGGAUAUAAUUUGCAAUAUUCAACACUAAUAUGUAAAAUUUGAAAAUGAAGAUCAAAAAAAAAAAAAUAUGUAAAAUUUGAAAAUAUAUUUAAUAUUAUAUUUAUUGUGUGAUACAUAGAUAAUUUUUUUUGAUAAGUAUUUUUCAGUUUAAAAAUAUUUAUAAUUUUAUUUAUAUAUUUUUAUAAUUUAUUUUGCAUUUAACUCAUUAUUUUUGCAUUUUCAUUAAUAAAUUAAAUAGAAUUUGAAAAUAAGAUAAAUUAAUAUUAAUUAAUUUAUUAAAAUUUUAUUUUAAUAUUUUAUUUCUUAUGAAUUCAUAUAGAAUUUAGAAAAAAAAAUAUUAUAUAUUAAAUAUAGGAUAUAGGUUGUUACAAAGAUGGAUUGUCCAGUUGGUUAGCUGCAACCUCUUCCACAUAUUAUACCCAGGUUUAAGGCCUAGCUUGCAAUUUACUUUUUCCCAAAAUAACAAAUAUGAUAAUAAUAAUAAUAAAAAAAAAACACCUGGCUUGCUUUUACGGUUUUACCACAUCACAGAGCCCCUUUGGCCCAUUCAAUUUUUCAAUUGAAAUCAAAGGAAAAGAAAACUUGGCAUGCAUUGACCACGCCCCUUGCCCCUUUGACUGCUUAAAAAAUCGGGAAAAAUUCUGAUAAAUUGGGAAAAUCCCUAUAAAUUGGGAAAAAUCAAGAAAAUUUCCUGAUAAAUUCCGAAAUUUCCAUCAGUGGAAAUAUCUCCUGCAUGUUUCAUGUUGGGCUCUGCCGACACUGAUAUAUCCUCGAAAUAUCGCCAAUUUUUUGGUGAUAUUUCCAUUCUUGGUUUGACAUUCCUGUUGUAUACUUGAAAUUUUAAUUUCUAAUGAUGCAAUGUAGUGGAUAUUUUUUCUGUGGGGAGUUUGCUCAUGCAUGAAAUUAAUAUUUUUUGCUAAUACUUUUUCCUCUAGGCUAUGAAGGUGGAGAAUAUGUUGAAAAUAAAGGAAGAGUUUGAUUAUAAAAGUUUGUCUAGAAGGCUUGAGAUUCAAUUAGACAAACUCAUUGUGGAACAUGAAAGGCAGCAAAAAGCAUUUGAAGAUGAGGUUGAAAGGAUAACUGUAGAAACACAAAAUCAUAUAUCUGAAACUGAAAGAAACUAUGCUGAUGCGUUGGAGGUAAGUGCAUACAUAUAAAAGUUUCAUUUUUUUUUUUUUUUUGUUUUGAUAUGAACAUCAGCAUUGUUUUAAGCUCACACACAAGUAUGCAUAUAUUUAUGCAUUACAUAUAUAUGUAAUAGUUAUCUUUACUCGUGAAUGAGCAGGCUCAUAGGCUAAUAGCUAAUGAUACAAAUAUUUGAUUUUGUUAUCAAGUAGCUGCUGAAUUGGACACAAGCUGCUUUGUUUGUUGAACCUGUACUAUUUGUUUAAUUAUUAAGCUAAAUGCUGUAGCUCUAAGGGUUGUCAUGGAUGUUUCAUGAUUACUUGUCGAGAAACUGUUUAUGAUAAAAAUACGUACAAUAACUUCUCCUAGUUCUUAUAUUUAUUUUAGAAAUCCUCAGUCUAAGGUGGUUAGUUUUCCAUUCUUGCAUGUUUAAUUGUAUGAAUGUUGUUUGGCCUUCACACGAAUGUAGCUUUUGUGGGAAUGUACAUAAUUUCUUUCAAUAUUUGUUUUUUGCUUUUAUUCUUAUUAUUAGAAGUUGGAAUUUUUUUAUAAUUGAGAGAUAGGUCUUGGCCUAGUGGUUUUAUCAACCGUAGAACUUCAAUUUAGCAAUUCAUAUUGAUCAUGCUUGAUUUAGUGCCAUUUGUUAGUUUUAGGUGCUAACUUAAUGCUUCUUAAAAUUAUCUUGUUCCUUUUCAGAAAGAAAGAUUGAAAUAUCAGGAAGACUACAUGCAAUCAAUAAAGAAGCUUGAGGAGCAAUGGGUGAUGAAUCAGCGGAAGCAUGGCAGUGAAAGAACCACAUUUGGGCUCAAAGAUGAUAACUUUGAUAAGACACUUAAUGGAGUGGUAAUCAUAUUUUGGAAUUAUAUAUCUUGUCAAAGAGUAUGGUUUGUAAUGGACAAACCAUGGCAUUCUCUACUCUCUCUCUCUCUCUCUUUCUCUUUGUGUUACCGGAUUUGCUAGUUUCUACUUGCAUUGGUUGUGAACCAUUUUUCGGGUUGGUGGUUGGAUGUGAAAUGCAGCAUAAAAACCUAGCUUGAAGGAUAAUCCCUCUACAUUGUGAUUUGCUUGUGGAAGAAAAGUAGAAUAUUUAAAAAUUUCCAAGAAAUAAAGUAGUGAUUGAAAACAAUAUGAAUCUUAAAAUGAAUUAAGAUAGUUCCCUUUUCCUUGAAGGUAUUAUCUUGUUAAAAAGUGAAUUCUAGGGGAUUAGUGAUUAGUGUAUGUAUAACAAAAUUCAUUGUCUUUCUCGAUAAUGAAAUUCAUAGCAAAAACAAUGUUUAGUGAAGAUAGAAAUAUAUUUUUGUUUAUUAGAUUACCUAUUAAAAACUAGAUUAACCAUUUGAUAUUGUUUGAUCCAAUGGUAGUGUUAAUGGUGACAAUGAUGAUGGAAAUGGCAUUGGUGAGGGUAAUGGUGGUGGUGGUAGUGGUGUAGGUGAUGAUAGUAAAGGUGGUUAUGACAAUGCUAGUGGUGACCAUGAUGGUUAUGGGAGAUUGGUAUUGGCGGUGUCUUGCUUAUGUGAGUGACAAAGAGGUAGUGUGGUAUUGCUUGUGUCUUUUUGGUUAUGGUGGCAAUGAUGAUGGUAGCCAUCGGGUAGUUAUCUAAUGUCUUCAUCAAAUAGAAAAAACAGGGUCAAAGAAAUUUUAUAUUUCAUUCUUAGAACUUGGAAAAGUAUCAAAUUCUUAAAUUCUUAUGGAAAGUUUGGAGUUCAUUACGAAUAUAAGAGAGUUCCUUUUCUGAGAGUGCAUUCUUGAAUCAAUAACCUCACGCAAAUUUCUAGAAUGCAUCUUAUAUAUUUUGGAAGGAUUUCUCAUCUUUUAUUAUAAUUAUUAAUUCAUAUCUAUGAAUUUGUUGUUUACGUUAAAAAAUGAAAAAAAAAAAAAAAGAACAAAGAAAUAGGCUCUAAGUUGGAAAAUUUUGUAAAAUCUGUUACGUUUGGGCUUCUUGUUUAGAGAAAUUUUUAAGGGUAUUCUUUUAUAGUUUUCAGAACUUGUUGGUAAGUGAUCCUAUAUUGUUUUAUAUACCUUGCCAUUAGACAUCAUUUUGUUGGCUUCUAGAGAUAUUUACCAUUUUGUUUUAAGAGGGGAUUCAAAGGGCACCAUUAGGUGAGUUGGGCUUCAUUCUCAUGUUGCAUAGAGGUUACUUUGCCUCAUUGGGGAGAUUAUUAACCUUACUAGUGAUUUAUGGCAACCUUGGGAUGAUUAUCUACAAGGUCGGUUAGGGUUUCAAUCUUUUAGGAUUUAAGGAAUAGAGAACAAGAAUAAAAUUAUAACAUCAGGAAAAAGAAUAAAAUAAAGGAUAGGAAAAGAAAAGAUAAAGAAGAAGGAUAAGAAACAUUGGAGUCCUAGUAAAGCCUUCUAGGAGUUUGAUGUGUAGAAGAAAAGUAAUAGAUUCCCACCAUUAAAAUUGCAAGGUAUGCAAAAAAAAUUAAUAUUAUUUAUCAUCAAUCAUUCAUCCUAUUUUACAUCAAUUAACCUUCUAGGAGUUCUAGGUUUUGAGACAAGGUGUUGUCUCCUUAUCUAUUUGUGUUGGGAUGGAUACCCUAGGUAUUCAAAUCUUUUGAGAAAGGUCAGGGAGGGUUACUUCAUUUCAAGCUUCAAGGUGGGAGGUAGAAGCAAAAAGGGUGUAGAGAUUUUUCACCUCUUAUUCAUUGAUGAUAUACUUCUCUUUUGUAAGCAUUUCUCAGACUAGGUCAUUUAAAUGAGUUAGGUUUUGUUUUGGUUUGAAGCUUCUUCAGGGUUGAGAAUUAGUCUAGACAAAAGUGAAUUAAUUCUAGUGGGAGAUGUCCCUAAUGUUGAGGAGCUUUCCUUUUUGUUGGUUAUUGGGAGGGAAAGUUUCAACUACUUACUUAGGCUUACCCUUGGCAUCUACUUUCAAGUCUCCAACUGUGUGGGAUGUGGUUGAGGAGAGGUUUAAUAGAAGGUUAGUUCUUUGGAAAAGACAAUACCUGGCAAGAGGUGGUAGACUCACUUUACUUGAAAAUACUUUGUGCAGCUUGCCUAUUUAUUUAUUUUGUGUCUCUUUUUGUCAUUCCUAAGGCAAUGGCUUUAAGAUUGGAAAACUUAUUAGGAUUUCUAGUGAGGUACGGGGGGGAGAGCUCUUCAAGAAAAAUCCUACCUGGUCAAUUGGUCAUCCAUUUGCAAAGAUAAAAAAAGGAGGGUUAGGUAUUAGGGUUUUGGGCUCUCUCAAUAAAGUCUUGCUUGACAAAUGAUGUUGGAAAUUUGCUUUAGAAAGGGAGUCCCUUCAGAGAUAAGUCAUAGUGGUAAGGUUCGGAAAAGAAUUGGGACACUAGUGCUCUCUUGUAAGGAGAGAGGGGCAUGCUGUUGGCUUAUAAAAGGCAACAAGAGGAGGUUGGGGAGCCUUUAAGGGUAGAACAAGAUUUUUGGUAGGUAACGAAAGAAGAAUCAAAUUUUGGCAAGAUGUUUGGCAUAGGGAUACUCCUUUAAAGGAUUUCUUCGUCUCUCUUUUCUUUUUUGCAGCUAAUAAGGAGGCAUGGGUGGUGGAUGUUUGGGAGGUUGUAAACGAGUAGGUUGCUUGGAACCUAGGCUUCGUAAGACAAUUUCAUGGUUGGAAGUUGGAUAACAUUGAGGAGUUACUUAGGAGACUUAAAGGGGGCAGCAAAGACAACAAUAAGUUGAUUUGGAUGGUUAUCAAGAGUGAGAAUUCCUUAGUGAAUUCAUUCUAUUCUACAUUGGUUUUGGAUGAAGAAGUAUAUUUUCCCUUGAAAAUAGUGUGGGGCUCUUGUUUGCCAUUAAAAAUAGGUUUCUCUGCUUGGGAGGUGGCAUGAGAAAGGAUCUUGAUCUUAGAUCAGCUUAAGAGAAGAGGAUAGGUAUUGGCAAAUCAUUAUUGUUUAUAUAAGAGUUCUGAAGAAUCGGCCAACUAUAUGCUGAUUCAUUGCAGAAAGGCAAGGGGUCUGUGGUAUUUUUUGUUUUCUCUCUUUGGCAUCUCUUGGGUUCUCCCUUCUGUGAAAGAUUUGCUAAAAGGAUGUCACGGGAGUUUCAUGAGCAAAAAUAGAAGGAAGAUUUGGAGGACAAUAUCUCUUCGCUCAUUUUGAAUAAUUUGGCAAGAACAAAAUCGAAGAUCCUUUGAAAGAAUUCAAUAAUCAGAUCAUGUGCUAAAGGAGUGAGUUCCUUCCUUGUACCCUACUCCAAUGGACCUAUCAGUAUAUUUAGGAUAACCCUAUAUCCUUAUUACAAUUUAUUGAUUGGUUAAGUGCUAGAUAGUGGGAGAGGGUGUGAUUGAUUGUAUGUUUAAUGUGGCUUUUUUUUUUUGUUGUUUUGGAACCCUUUGUAUACCUCUUAUGCAUGUAGGGCACCAUCCCCUCAUUUUGAUUGGCGCUUUUUAUAGAUAUUCUUGCUUGCCUAUCUUGUCGUGGGGGGGAGGGGUGGGGUAAACUCGUAAAUUUUCUAAAUAUUGAAAUUAAAAGAAAAUAGAAAUUUUCAUUUAAGAAUUAGAGACUUGCUUUGUAGAGAAACUUUUGUAACAAGAAUUUAUAGUAAAGAAAACUUCUUGAUUCUAAUGACUCAAAAUUGAAACUUUUGCCAUUUCGUUUAAGGAGGAUUCUAAAACUUCCUAAAUUCUGAAUAGAACUCAAAUACUAACUACUAACAAAUUAUGAUCCUAAAGAACCUAAAAAAAUGCAAAAUUAUUUAAACAUUGUUGAUAAAGUAACUUGAGACUUAUUUAUUUUCUUUCUUUCAUUUCUUGAGUAGAUCUUGGAUAUUCAGCCCCAUCAACUAGGCAUGUCAGUUUGCUUUCAUAGAAUUUUGUUGCCAAUGGUCUUUGCCCAGACUACCUUGUAGGCAUUGUCUCCCUCUGGAGAGUGGUGCCUUUGAUGGUCUAUUGUAUGUUUUUCUUCCUCUUUUUUUGUUUCCUUGGAGAAUGUCUUUUUCAUUCUUUUAUUCCAUUCCCUUAUCUAAAAAUAUGUUUCUUGCCAAAAAGAGAAAAAAAAAUGCUCUGACUGCUACUUGUUGACCUAUCGCCUGAGUAACAUCCCCAAUCAAUUUCUUUGUGGUGUGUAGGUUCCUGUGGCAUCUGCUGCUGAAGAAAUAGCAGAGCUCAAAAAAUUGCUUCAGAAUGAGGCUUCUUUAAGAACAGCUACUGAAGAGGAAGUCAAUAACCUUAAGAGCCAAGUAGUUCAGUGGAAAAGGAUUGAGGUGGUCAUGCACUAUUUCUUCUUUUGGAGUCAUCUAGUUUCCUGUUUUACAAUUUUGGUGACUAGGUUGGUGAUACAUGAUUCUGCAUUUGGUAUAAUAGGCAGCAGGAAAUUCUGAGAUAUUAAAACUUCGCAAGAUGCUGGAAGAUGAGGCACACCAAAAAGAGAAACUUGAAGAAGAAAUUGCAAUACUGCAAAGUCAGUUGUUUCAAUUAAGUUUUGAAGCUGAUGAGGUAUGCAGGUUGUGGAUUAUAAGUAUGUUUGUUAUGGUUUCAACUUGUAUUUCUGAUUGCUGCUGAUGCAAUAUAUAGGCUAAGUUGUGUUAUAGUUUGAUUCAUACUUCUGGGUGUUUCUCAAGGGAAUGAUUUGCUAGUGGUAUCUUCUUGUUUGGGGAAAUAGUUGAGCUUUUAAAAAUUCAUGCAACAAAGGGGAAAAAAAAUUCUGAAUGCAAGAUUAGGUUAGACUGAUACUUAUUUACUCAUAAGAUAAAAUUAUGAAAACAAACAGUAGGUUAACAAGUUCAUGUUGUGUUGAAACACAAAGGAAAUGUUGUGUCAAGAAAAUGCUUCACUCUCUAGUGAUGAGCCCUUUAGAACAUACCUUAAAUGGUCCAAGGUCUCUAAUUUCUGUAAGGUCAUAUUCGUUAAUCUAGAAUAUGGAUCAUGAAAUUUAGUUUCUUGGAAUUUAUCAAAGUUAGUUCUUUGGUUGACUAAAUUUCUAGAAACAUGACUCAUGAAGAUACUGUUGAAAAUUUCUUAAAUUCCUAUUGUCAUAUAUUCCUUUUGAUAAAGAAUAUUAUAUAAAUACUUUAUAUAUUGGUAUUUCCUGGUAAAAAUAGGUUUCUUUGUAGAAUAAGGAAAGGUGUUACAAACAUCUAGGUCAUGAAGGAAAACUAAUAAGUAGAGAUGUGAGAAAAGUGGGAGACACUCGUUGGAGCACUACUCAUGGUUUAGGGUGUAGAUACUAGGAGCCAAGAACAUGAGAUCGUUUCAAGACAUGAGAGUUAUAUCUAUUUUCUCUUUCUUUUGCAAUUUCUCUAUUGUAAAGUGAAAUAUUUUCAUCAUCUAUGGAUGUAAGCAUACCACGUUAAAACCUUGCGUACCUUUAUGUGUAUGUUUAUUUAUUUAUUUUAUGUUAUUCUACUAACACAUAUCAAUGAAGCUUCUGCUAACACAAUAUAUACCUUGCAUCCACCCCUUAAACUGUGGGAAAUUUGUAGUGAUAAAAAAAAAACAAUUUAUUUUAGUAACUACACUUUAGUUUGGCUAGAAUGUGGGUGAUCAAACCGAUGUAUUUUGAUCAUUUGAAUAAAACUUGGAACAGUUAUAUCAAUAAGAGUUGGUGGGCUGGUAUGAUGACAUAAUGAAGAGGUCUAGAAUGGAAUUUUGGAGUGAAUGCAAGCCUCUAUAAGUUUCUGUUUCCCAACUAUUAGUCCUUUGGAAGUGGAAUAUUAUUCGAAGGAUACUUGUAGACUCAAGCCAAUUCAUGUUUGAACAAAUUGAGAUAUCGAAAUACUCCUAUUUCUCAUCCAAAAUAUAUAUGUUGAUCUACUUGGCACUUACAAUUGAAAUUCCUUCUGCAUCUGGAUGGCAUGAAACUUAUUUCUUGGGAAUUAUAAGAUGGAAUUCUUGAUUUGUUUGGAGUUGCUAUCCUUGGAAAUUGAAAUUCUCAGUAGCAAACUGCCCCAGAGACUGUUACUUCUGACAUGCUCCAGAACGCAUUAUAAAUUUGAAUUAACACAUAUCUAUCUUUAUAGACAAGCAGACAACUUGACAGAGGUGGAUCUGGGAAAGUUCUUGGAAAUCUGGAUUCUUUCGUGUCACAAAUUAGGCAUUCACAGCUUAGUGAUUCAGGAAAUGGGGAUAAGGCCUCGAUAGCUAAACUCUUCGAACAAGGUACCAUAAAAUGCCUGGUCGGAUUUUUACAGUUAAUGGCUGCAUAUACUUAAUAUUAUAGCUACCUAUUUUCCUUUGUUUCUUCCUAACAAGAUCCAGUGUCCUGACAGUGGGAUUGCAAAAGAUCUUGUCAUUGCUUGAAGCUGAAGAUGCUGAUGUGCGAAUUCAUGCUGUAAAAGUGGUAGCAAAUCUUGCCGCCGAAGGUGCCUUCUGACUUUUCAUAGCCUUCUGUUUCCAUUAACAUGUUUUAUUCUUUAAAAUAUUCUUUUAUCUUUUGUGAGAUAAGCAUAUUUCGGACUGCCUUCACAUACUUCCUAUGCUUCCUAUUUGAAGGUUACUUCUUUUGUUUCCCCUUUUCCAUUUGACGUGGGGAGAUGGAGAUCUGUUGAUUGAAAAAGUUGCUUACUUGUCAACAUUAUUUAUAAAAUGGAUAUCUGGAUGGCCUUUUGUAUCAUCCAAAUGAAAGGUGUAANNNNNNNNNNNNNNNNNNNNNNNNNNNNNNNNNNNNNNNNNNNNNNNNNNNNNNNNNNNNNNNNNNNNNNNNNNNNNNNNNNNNNNNNNNNNNNNNNNNNNNNNNNNNNNNNNNNNNNNNNNNNNNNNNNNNNNNNNNNNNNNNNNNNNNNNNNNNNNNNNNNNNNNNNNNNNNNNNNNNNNNNNNNNNNNAUCAUUUGAUGCCAUUCAUCAUGCUUAGACUGAGGAAAUGGUAAAGACAGAACUAGAAUUGUAGAGGGCUUGGUUGAAAUUGGAAGGGCAGUUGGGGAAAAUUAGAUAACUGGUGUUCGGAUAUGGAUGAAUCAUUGGGAUCACUUUUGGUAUGCAAAAUAGGGUCUGUUGUCUCCAUUAGCCUUUAAAAACUCUGGCUUUCUUUGGAAUUAUUGAAACAAAUGAUUCCAUCCCAUUCUGGAGUAAAUUAGUCUGAAAAAACGCUAAUGAAACUGAGUAUUGAGAUUACUGAUCAAGGUUGGAUAAUGGUUAAGUUGAUGGUACAAAAAUACAUCAGAACUACCAUGUUGCUUAUUCAUCUAUUAGGAGAAAUUUAGGAAGAUGGUUAAUUGUUCACCAUAGUGUAGUUAUUACUAAUUCUCUGUAAUUUCUAAAAGGCCUAGAAUUUAUGCAUGUAGUUUGUUUAAUUUAUGCCUCUAAUGAUGUCUUGAAUUACUGUAGUCAACACCAUUAAAUCUCAGCAUGAAUUUUGAUUUGUCUGCUUUUCAAUGAAUAAAUAACAUCUUCAUGUGAUAGUUGUAGCUUCUAUGAGGAUAUUUAACAUGAGUAGAAGGAUUGGAAAAGGACAUGUAGGGUAGAGAAAACUUGUGCUCAUAGCAAGUGAUAAAAUGAGGGAUUUUCAUUUGAGAUUGUUUUUAAUAUUGUCUAGAGAAUUCUAAACAACAAAUGCAUGGGUGUGAGUUAGUACGAGGAAAGCCGCUGAAAAAGUAACAGAGGGAGGUUUUGUUGGAAUGAACAGGGUAAUAAAUUUAGUAAAAAGAAGGAAUUAUAUCCUCAUUAGAAAAAGGAAAGAAAUGCAAAGAGGAUGUGACCUUUGGUUGGCUAAAACUGACAGGAAGGUUUAGUUUCUUAUCCCAAAUUUCUUGAGGAGCCCAUCUACAUGGCAGCUUGGAGUUAGCCAUGUGGAAAUUGCUUGAGUAGUCAUGUGUGGGUUUGAUCAUCUGGUCCCAUGAAAGUUAACCCAAGAGUCAUAGAAUACCAAGCUUGCUUGGAACAUUUAUGUAUAUUAAAUCACUACUGGUUUUAUAAAUAUAGUUAUUUGCAAUGUUGUGAUUGCUAUUAUUCUAUAUCCUCAACUUGGCCUAUGAGAUCAUGCUACAAUGGACCACUCUCUCUUGCUGAAGAUGAUCAUUUCAAUAGCUGUUACUAGUUUCCAUCCUUAAUUAUCUGUUAGCAGUGGUUUUUACUUCCCCUCUAAUUUGCAGAAACAAAUCAAGAGAAGAUUGUAGAGGCUGGUGGUCUUUCAUCCUUACUGAUGCUUCUUAGAAGCUCUGAGGAUGAGACUAUACAGAGAGUUGCAGCAGGUGCAAUUGCGAACCUUGCAAUGAAUGGUAAAUCAUUAAUCCCUUGCUUUCUAGAAUAUAUUUGACAAACUUGGUUAAUAUUAUUGAUACUUUUGGAAUUGGGUUUUUUGACAUUUACUUUACCUUCCUUUCACGUUUAACCAUUUUAUCUGUCCAUGCAGAAACCAACCAAGAGCUUAUAAUGUCUCAAGGAGGCAUUAGUUUAUUGUNNNNNNNNNNNNNNNNNNNNNNNNNNNNNNNNNNNNNNNNNNNNNNNNNNNNNNNNNNNNNNNNNNNNNNNNNNNNNNNNNNNNNNNNNNNNNNNNNNNNGACACAGCCAAUGCUCCUAAGGGAAUGGUAGUUCCAAUGAAAAUAAAAAUCCAACUAUUUAGAUAUGAUUCCUACUGCUCUAACUGCUACUGUAUUGCAUUGUCCAGAUAAGUUACAGAUAAAGCUAAGAGGCGAAGGUGGUAUUAAGGCAUUGCUAGGAAUGGUCAGAUGUGGACAUCCUGAUGUUCUUGCACAAGUUGCUCGUGGAAUUGCAAACUUUGCAAAAUGUGAGUCCAGGGCAUCAAGUCAAGGUAAUAUGCUUAGAAGGAGGCAUUUCUGAAGUCUUUAAUUGUUGUAGGGCACAAACAGAACUGCUAUCUUGGUUCUUAAGCAUAACUUUCGAACCCCCUAGAUGUGUUUAUGCCAUGUUGACAAAAUACUCUAAAUUUUCUAGAAAGUCUAUUUUCAUGGAGCAUGCUGAAGUCACCGUCAUUUCUAAGUUAUAGUGCAAUCCAAAGAACUUCUCAAAUGUAAAAAAUAAUUGUUGCCUUUUAUUGUUUUGUGUUGACACAUGGCAUUUCUGCUCCUACUGCAUCAGGAACCAAGAGUGGAAGAUCGCUACUUAUUGAAGAUGGUGCACUUCCAUGGAUUGUACAAAAUGCUAACAAUGAGGCCUCACCAAUCAGGCGCCAUAUUGAGCUUGCACUCUGCCAUUUAGCACAACAUGGUAAGUUGACCUUUCUUUGGAAACCUGCAAAUCUCUUCAUGCAUCCCCCCUGAGAAGGCUUGAAUUUCCACAUUUCAGAAGUGAAUGCAAAGGACAUGAUUAGUGGAGGUGCCCUCUGGGAGUUGGUCCGAAUCUCACGAGACUGUUCACGCGAGGACAUAAGGACUCUUGCGCAUAGGACACUAAAUUCUAGCCCCACCUUCCAAACUGAAUUGAGGCGACUCCGUAUAGAGUGUUGAUGGAUAUUUGUGGAAUAUUUGAGGUUGGAAUGCAAGUGUGGAAGAUUGGAGAAGGAGCUUUUAAACUCAAGUUAGUGUGGGACAAACAAACAGGAAUGCUGUCAUCAGUGCCCCUGUUCAAGUUUUGUUAAGAGUGGGUGGGUAGGUUGGUGUUUGUAGCCUUUAUUUUUAGCUGAUUACAAAUGGACCCUUAUCUGUUAGUCAAUUUAUUACCAUGUAAUUUCAUUUCUUGUAUGGAUAGGUUCGCCUUAGUGAGACCACUCCAAACUAAGCUUCUAACUAUUGUAUAAAUUAGUUUGUAUAUGAAAUGAAAAGAAGAGAAAAAAAGGAAAAAAAAUAAAAUAAAUAUGUAAUGUUGUGGUAUAUAGAACACUCAUGUUACAGAGUAGUUUGUUAAAAUCUUUUACUUUCCAUCAUAUUUCCAAAAUUCAAUGUGAAUCUCCUCAUCUAUAUUGCAUGGUAAGAUUGUGAUGUAAUUGAUAAUAAUUUUUUUAGAUGCCGAGUGGUAUGAACCGCCCAGAAAGCAAGAUCAAUGAUACCAAUGGCUCAGCAAUCACAGAAAUGGAUAUGGAUCCCUUGCUUGGGCAAUUUCUUCUGUGUUUUAUGGGUGGAACUGCUUAAAUGUCAUAGUUUUUCACGUGCAGGAAAGUGCUAUGCUGCUGGUCCCUUUUCAUUACUGGGAUGCCACUUUUCCAGCCCCACAUUCUCUGCAUGGCUCCUCAAUAUCAGAGACAUAAUGAUAGACCCACCCAUCCAAUUAUUUUCGAUUUUCAUUGAAGUUGUUUACUUCUUUCCUUUUUGCGUAACAGAAUUCCAAUGAUGUCUAUGGACAUCUAAUGAUGCAUCACUUGUUAUGCAAUCUCCAUAUGGCCAUGAAAUUCAACUUUCUCUGGAAACUAAGAGCGCAUUUUGUGGACUUUCUUGGAGCUGUCAUAGCCCCAGAGCUAGCCCACUGGUCAAAUCUUCACUCUGAAAUUACAAAUACCUGACAUUGAUAUUUCCUGGCAGCUCCACAACAAACCCAAAUUCCUUCCAUUCCUUUCUGUUCCCUUCUUUUUUAAGGCAGUGACAAUUGUUCCCAUAAGCCUAAUUGGGCAAAAAGAAAACCCAGAAAUAAAAUUUUUAUCACUACACAGGAGUUUGUUUUGCAAACAUGACUAAUAAAUUUGACUCAAAACAGUAUACGAUUCUUCACAUUUUUCCCAAGUCUUCACAUUUGAUAUUCCAAAGAAAAGAAUGUCCCUAUCAUAAGCCCAAAAAGCAAAAGAACAAACUCCAUGGACUCCCACAUGCACCCAAUCUACAUUCAUAUUACAAAUAGUAAUAAUAAUAAUAUUUCAUCCCAAAUUCAUCUGGAUCCCUAACGAACAUUACCUAGUUAUGUCAUUGAGUACUUCUUCAAAAGUAAAACUCCUAUAUAAACAAAUUUGGCACCUAAGAUGUACAUCUUAGAGGAUUUUUAAGAAGCAAUAUCAUAACAGGCAUCAUUCAGCAAGACAAUUACCGGCAUCAUAUGAUAAGAUGAGCACAUAAGAUAUAGUCAUAUGAAGCGAGAGAGAUGAUCGAUAAAGGCUUCGCAAGGGAGGGUUAAACAGGUGAAUGAAAGAGGAAGAAGCAAGAGUACUGCUGCCUACCUCCAUCAACUGGGGCACAACAAAACUUCAGUGUGUAGAACCAAAUGCCACUAUCCACAACCAAAUUAUGAUUAUCUCGAAAGUGGAGAGCCCCAUUCUAUCUGUCUAUAUAUAUAUAUAUUUACAGGCCUUAUAUAUGGGCACGAAGUUUGCACCAUGAAAGCUAGUCUACAUACUUUUGAGACUGACUAAAAACCAAUCAUUAGGGGGGAAUUAGUGGGUGCCAAAGCUAGCUUGGAGCUGAUAUUUUAUUUUCUUGAUGGGCCAGGAAAAAGGAAACUAAGAGAAAUGAUGAUAUUGGAGAUUCCUAAGUGAAACACUAAUUUAAAUAAAUAAAUAAAUAAGAGAAAAAACUAGGAAACUGUUGAUGCAUUAAGUGAAGAAGAAGAGGAAGAUGUAUCUCGACAAGAACAGCAAUGUUGAGGUGGAUGGUAAACCUACCAAACAAAAGAAAAUCCCAGCUUAUCAUUAGUAGAAUAAGACAGUUGGCUUCAAGAAUCCUAUCCCAUAGAAUGAAUUGAUCAACAAAGAAGAGAAAUGAUGGUGCAAAAGAAAAGCAAAAAAUAAAAAUAAAAAAAAUUGAAAAAAGUUGACUAUAUAUGAAGUUUUCCCCAUAGAAGAAUGGAUAGGAUACAGCUUUACUAAGAGUGGAGAAGUAGUAAUAGCUGUAAUGGAGAAAAGCAAACGAUAUUUCCUGAACUUUGAACAGUUGACCAAUCCCCUAUUUCCUGAAUCCCGACUUCUGAGAGAGGGAGAGAGAGAGAGAGAGAAUAUAAAGCUCAUCCCACUUUGUCCUGGCUGUUGCCUUUUUAUGGAAGUGUUGUUUGCCUCGAAAAGGAACUUGUUCAGAGCAGUGCACGUGUAAACCAGAAGGCACAUAUUAUUCAUGUCUCCAGGAAAAGACUCUUAAACUCACUAAAGAAAGCCAAAAAAAUGUGCAAACUCUAAGCCCAUACCCCUUUUUCUUCUCGUAAAUAGUUUGCCACCUCCUUGCCUCCCAUCGAAACCGUCGCUGCCUUUAGUGAACCCUCAUCCUCUCAUCUCCUCAGCUUAUCAACUGAUGAACUACAACACCAACAACACUGCUGCUCAUAUAUGAUCACAAUGUCUUUCUUGAGAUUUCUGUGAUGCUGAGGAUAUAUCAACAUAUAGAGAGGAAUUUCACAGAAAGAGAUGAAUGUGGGUUAUAGAUAUACACACACACACGGGAAUGUAAAGAAACAAUGGAGUACAAAUCAAGUUUUGUUUGAUAUAUAUGUGCGGGUAUGUGGGCGUGUGAGAGGGAGACUAUGAAUUGGUGAGGUGGGGGACUUUCAUAACCCAAUGUGGAUUCAACUGAUUAGAGCACACAACAGAAGACUAAUAUAUGGUUGCGUUUCUCCAAUUGGAGAGAUAUCACAUGAGAAAAUUCUUAGAGCUGAAAGAUCAAACAUGGAUGAGAAAGACAGUCAUUCUUAUUCUAGUGCUUCUAUGUUGUUUUUCCUUUUGUUGGAGUCCUUAUUGUCCCUUCUCCUACCUUCUUUCUUCUGCCCUUAAUCAACGGACCAAAUUGUGGUAGCAGUUAUUCCCAUAAAAUCAAACUCACGAACAAUCCAUGAAUUUACACAGUUUUUCCAUCAACAUGCANNNNNNNNNNNNNNNNNNNNNNNNNNNNNNNNNNNNNNNNNNNNNNNNNNNNNNNNNNNNNNNNNNNNNNNNNNNNNNNNNNNNNNNNNNNNNNNNNNNNUGUUGCAGGAGAAUCGAACGUCGUCGUUUUCCUUUUUGGAUACAGCGGGCGGUUCUUCCUCCUCCUCUUCAUGUUCUUUUACGUUCGGUAAUGUAGGUGUUGGCGGUGGCGAUAAAUCUGAGCCAAAGGUGCCUAACAGGUGCAUGAGCUGCAACAAGAAGGUGGGGUUGACGGGGUUCAGAUGCAAGUGCGGGAGUACCUUUUGCGGGGCUCAUCGUUACCCAGAGAAGCACGAGUGCACAUUCGAUUUCAAGGCCUCAGGGCGUGACGCCAUUGCCAAGGCUAAUCCGGUGGUUAAGGCUGAUAAACUGGACAGGCUGUGAAACCACCUGGAUUGGUAUUUUCUUUAUAAUCAUCAUCAUCUUCUUCUUCUUCUUCUUUAGGGUUUCUUUAUUUGGUUAGGGCUUUGUGGGAAAGCUGGUGGUUAUGGUGCUGUUCUUGCUUAAUGGUGGUUUGUGGGUGAAAGGGAUGGAUAAUACGUGGUGGUUGGGGGGAGGGGGGUGGCUUCCAUAAUAAAGUGGCUAAUUGAAUUGUUAUUAGUUGUAGUUUGCCCUUUUCUUUAUUCUUUUUUCUUUUUAAACUUUUUCUUCCCUCUUUUUCUGCUCUGCUGCUAAACUACUUUAUCACAUCUAUUCUAAUAUCCAUAGUCCAUACUACAACCUAGCUUGGUAUUUAGGGUUAAUGAGUAUCUGCAUCCUUUUUCUUAGAAUAUGGCUUCUGAAACAUUCUUUCUUAAAAAUAAAUAAUAAAUAAAUGAAUACGAAAAGUU